RNAcentral lists this ribosomal RNA (497 nucleotides) under uncultured bacterium. Its description in RNAcentral is "partial 16S ribosomal RNA". It matches the Rfam family "Bacterial small subunit ribosomal RNA", at positions 28 to 507 of the family's 1533-position model. The record is from RNAcentral.
GAUGAACGCUGGCGGCGUGCCUAAUACAUGCAAGUCGAGCGAACAGACGAGGAUCUUGCGCCUCUGUCGUUAGCGGCGGACGGGUGAGUAACGCGUGUAUAACCUACCUAUAAGACUGGGAUAAUUACGGAAAACCGGAGCUAAUACGGGAUAAUAUAUUGAACCGUAUGGUUGAAUGGUGAAAUACGGUUUUUCUGUCACUUAUAGAUGGAUCCCCGCCGCAUUAGCUGGUUGGUAAGUUAACGGGUUACGAAGGCAAGGAGGCGUAGACGACCUGACAGGGUGGUAGGCGACACGAGAGGUGGGACACGGUCCAGACUCCUACGGGAGGCAGCAGUAGGGAAUCUUCCGCAAUGGGCGAAAGCCUGACGGAGCAGCGCGGCGUGAGUGAUGAAGGCCUUGGGAUCGUAAAACUCGGUUAUGGGGGAAGAACAAAUGUGUAAGUAACUAUGCACGUAUUGACGGUACCUGAUAAGAAAGCCCCGGCUAACUACGUG